Molecule: ribosomal RNA, 440 nt
Filed under: uncultured bacterium
Lineage: Bacteria
Description: partial 16S ribosomal RNA
Rfam family: Bacterial small subunit ribosomal RNA
Source: RNAcentral
CCUACGGGAGGCAGCAGUGGGGAAUAUUGCACAAUGGGGGGAACCCUGAUGCAGCGACGCCGCGUGAGUGAAGAAGUAAUUCGUUAUGUAAAGCUCUAUCAGCAGGGAAGAAAAUCACGGUACCUGAGUAAGAUGCCCCGGCUAACUACGUACCAGCAGCCGCGGUCAAACGGAGUGGGCGAGGCGUCUCCGGAUUGACUGGGGGGAAAGUGAGCGUCGACGGCAGGGCAUGUCUGGAGUGAAAGGCGGGGGCUCAACCCCCGGACUGCUAUUGAAACUGUACGGCUGGAGUGCAGGAGAGGUAAGUGGAAUUCCUAGUGUAGCGGUGAAAUGCGUAGAUAGUAGGAGGAACACCAGUGGCGAAGGCGGCUUACUGGACUGUAACUGACGUUGAGGCUCGAAAGCGUGGGGAGCAAACAGGAUUAGAUACCCUGGUAGUC